UGCAAAGGGUGGAUCGGAGAGUGGAGGGCAGCCACCAGGGACGAUGGUGGAGAAGCUGAGUGCGUGGAGCGGCAGGUCCGUCCCACAGCCUCCGCUGUGGCCUCAGGCCAAGAUGGGCGGCUGGGGCAGAAAGGGGCUGCGGCAGGGAGCCCUUCCUUCUAGGUCUGGUGCUCAGUGGUUUCCUGCUCUGCUGAAGGGCCGUUGCUCGGUGGUGAUGAUUCAUGGCAUUUGGACACUGUGGCCGUGUUCUGAACAGGGAAGUGAAAAAUAACACAGCCGAGGGCAGUGCAGGGCAGGGCAGGGGCUGUCACAAGAUGGGAAGCUUUCCUUUGGAAAAUGCAGGGGGCGGGGGCGUCACAGCCAAGUUGGUGGCGGCGGUUCAUGCCGCGUGAGUGUGGCCCCGUUUGCUCUUCUUCUGGGCAUCAACUUUUCCAAGUGUCGGCCACUAAGUUGUCCCUCGGAAGUGGCUGCUGGUCUUGGCCGAACCGCCGUGAGGAGGAGGAAGUGGACGGGUGAUUCAGUGAGUGUCAGCUUCCUCUGUGACUCGGGAUUGGAUCCGUUUCUUAGGGUGGUGCCAGAGGGCCUGUGUGGCUUUGAAAUUGUCUGCCACUGGCGGUGGCCCUCCCUUGACCCCUUUUGAACGAGUAAGGGGAUUCAGCUGGAUUCUGCAGCCUCCCCCCAAGUUGGGCAGGCCCUUCUGACUUGAGGCCGACCUGUGGCUCCGGCCGACAAAGAUCAGUGACGGGCCCAGCUGAGGCCUCUGCUGGGUCUGUGUGCGUGUCAGGAGCUGCCUCGUAUUUGGGAACUGGAUUGCGAGAGCAGCUGGGAUCUGAGGGGCCCAGUCCCGGCAGGUGUUAGACUGAGGGAGGAGGCAGUUCAACUGCCCGGAGCCACCAGCUCUCCUGGAGGCCAUUUGUCCACGUAGCCAGUGGACGACAGGAGACGGCCAGAUGCACAGCUGCUUCCUUCCCACGAGGAGAGUCAUGACUGGCUUUUUCUUCCGGAGCACCGAGUUUUCCAUGGAUCUGUCGUUGGCGCGCAGCCUAAGCGGCCAUUGCUGCCCUCGCCUGAAACCUGUUCUAAGAAGCACUUCAAUCAUCCAGAUCCUCGCCUCUGCCCAAGAGUCCAUAGUCCUAAAAGCACUGACUUGGUAAAGACUGAAAAACCCUCUCAAAAAAUGCUGCAGGGGCUUCUGUAUUCGAAUGCCUUCCAUCACCUCGGAGAACAGCCUCCGCUUCCGGGUCAGUUCUGUCCCACCUCUUCCCCCCUCCGUCCCCUCCUGUUUCUGUGGCCAGAACAGAGGUCAGCUGGUCUUACUCAGGCAGGAUGGCCAGCAUCCAGUCACUGGUGUAUUUAAUGAGGACUCUAGUGUUAGUCACACGCACAGCAGUGCAGCUCAAACCAGUCGGGGCUUCCAGAAAGGAGCUCUGUGUGACAACUGUACAAGGGGGGAGGGGCCCCGAGGCACUUGCAGCUGGGACCUGACCCUGCUGGGUGCUCUGUCCUUUCUCUCACAUCAUCUUCCAGCAAAACAGUGAUUUUGAUCUCUUUGAUAAGCUUUCUCCACACGGAAUGUGCACGAUUGCAGUUUGCUUAUCACACCUCGCAGCAUCACUGCCAGAGAGGGGCUGAGAGUUCCAAAGUUCCAGAGAGAGGCCUCGAUGGCCUUCCCUGGGGUCAGAUGACCAUCACUGACUCAAUCACUGUGGCCAGGGAAGGAUCUCUGAGCACAUGGCUGUUUCGCAUUUGGACCCUAUGAUUAGCGCUGCGCUAAGCAGGGGAGGCAGUAUUUUCCAGAAGGAGGGGCUCCUGUCCAGGUCAGACAAACAAUGGGCCCACUGCCCCGGCGUGCUGAGCUCUUCCUCACCCCCAGGCUGAGGACUCAGGCCCUCACUGCCUCCCCUCUGCCUCUCCCGGGCCAGGGGGUCCCCUCAGAACCCACUGUUUUAUUGCUUAAAAAUCCAUAAGAGAUGGGGGUUUUCUCAGCUAAGUUUUUUGCGGGGGGCGGAAUACAUGUCUAGGGCGGGAGCUGUACGAUUUUCUGAGGAGACGGCCUCGGAGGAUCUAAGCAACGAGUGAAGGAACAACAAAGGGACCCUUCUCAGAAGCAUGGCAAAAAUGAAACCAAAUAAAAACCCCAUAAAAAUCCCUACUGGGGCAGAGGAAAUACCAGCGUGAUGCUUUUGAGCCACAUCUUCAGUAAUAAAGGAAAGAUUCAAGGAUCGGCCGUUCUGACGGGAUUAUGUUUGGGCUUGAGGGAGAAUGUGCUGGAAAACAAUGAAAGGGAGUCAUCCAAGCAAGGGAGGUCUGUUGGUGCGUGCAUUUGUAUGUGUGUUGUUGCAAUUCAGGAACUGACCGAUGACCAGGGUCAUGGGGAGUCUGAGAGAGACACCCGACAGGAACCGGUUCAAAGUUUGUGCCCAGCCUGGGGAGAUCAGAUGACCGGCAGCUGGCCUGCCCCCUGCCGGCUCCCAUUGAUGUCGGAGGGGCUCUGACCCCCGUUUGGUCACAGAAAUACCCGUUUGGAAAUCUCUUUGAAGGCUGAUUAAGUAAACGCUCUCGCGGCACCGACAGUAACAACCGAGUGACGUAGGCGAAGUGCUCGUGGGCCAAGCUUGUAGGAGGGACUCCACACACGUUCGCUGACUUCUCUUCCUGCUUCACCUCUGUUAUGGUUCACGUUCUACGUUCACGUCCAUGAUGUUGAAGUGCUAAUCCCCAGGACCCCGGAAUGUGACUGUGUUUGGAGAUAGGGUCUUUAAAGGGGUAGUUACGUUAAAAUGAGGUCAUUUUAAGUGAAAAUGAGGCCCUGAAGCAAUCCUUUUAAAAAAAAUUUCUUUUAAUGUUUAUUUUUGAGAAAGAGAGACAGAGCAUGAGCAGGGGAGGGGCAGAGAGAGGGGAAGACACAGAAUCCAAAGCAGGCUCCAGGCUCCGAGCUGUCAGCACAGAGCCCAACGCGGGGCUCAAACUCGUGAACCGAGAGAUCGUGACCUGAGCCGAAGUCGGACGCUCAACCGACUGAGCCACCCAGGCGCCCCCAAACCAAUCCUUAUAGGAAGAGGAGUUCGCAACCCAGGCACAUACAAGGGGAAGAUGAUGUGAAGACACAGGGGGAAGACAGCCAUCGACAAGCCAAGGAGAGAAGCCUGGGACCGAUCCUUCGUCCAAGAAGGAGCCAACCCUGUCGACACCUUGGUCUUGCACUUCCAGCCUCCAGAGCUGUGGAGAAAUAAAUUUCUGUUGUUUAAGCUGU
Long non-coding RNA from Leopardus geoffroyi (Geoffroy's cat), 3253 nucleotides. RefSeq lists it as uncharacterized. The record is from RefSeq and is a predicted model, not a curated record. The transcript is spliced from 2 exons. Lineage: Eukaryota; Metazoa; Chordata; Mammalia; Carnivora; Felidae.